Molecule: non-coding RNA, 75 nt
Organism: Parelaphostrongylus tenuis
Lineage: Eukaryota; Metazoa; Nematoda; Chromadorea; Rhabditida; Metastrongylidae
Source: the annotation of a GenBank genome assembly
GGUGCCUCGAUGGUGUAGUGAUAUCACGCACUCUCGGUAUGGAUGAAACGUGGGUUCAACUCCCGUCUCAGAUCG